UUCCGGUUGAUCCUGCCGCCGGCUACUGCUAUCAGGUUUCGACUAAGCCAUGCGAGUCAAGGGGUCGUAAGACACCGGCGUACUGCUCAGUAACACGCGGACAAUCUACCCCCAGGUGGAGGAUAACCUCGGGAAACUGAGGCUAAUACCCCAUAGUUGUCAUGUGCUGGAAUGCUUUGACGAUGAAAGAAUUUCGCCUGAGGAUGAGUCUGCGGCCUAUCAGGUAGUAUGUGGUGUAAAGGACCACAUAGCCGAGGACGGGUACGGGCCUUGAAAGAGGGAGCCCGGAGAUGGACUCUGAGACAUUAGUCCAGGCCCUACGGGGCGCAGCAGGCGCGAAAACUGUGCAAUGCGCGAAAGCGCGACACGGGGAACCUGAGUGCCUUGACACAGUCAAGGCUUUUAUCAAGCCUAAAAAGCUUGAUGAAUAAGAGCUGGGUAAGACGGGUGCCAGCCGCCGCGGUAACACCCGCAGCUCUAGUGGUGGUCACUUUUAUUGAGCCUAAAGCGUUCGUAGCCGGUUCUGUAAAUCUUCAGAUAAAUUCAUUCGCUCAACGGAUGAUCUUCUGAAGAGACUGUAGAACUUGGGACCGGGUGAGGUUGAAUGUACUUCCGGGGUAGGGGUAAAAUCCUGUAAUCCUGGAAGGACGACCGGUGGCGAAGGCGUUCAACUAGAACGGAUCCGACGGUGAGGAACGAAGGCUAGGGGAGCAAACCGGAUUAGAUACCCGGGUAGUCCUAGCUGUAAACACUGCCCACUUGGUGUUGCAUCUCCGGUAAGGGGGUGCAGUGCCGUAGCGAAGGUGUUAAGUGGGCCGCUUGGGGAGUAUGGUCGCAAGGCUGAAACUUAAAGGAAUUGGCGGGGGAGCACCGCAACGGGAGGAGCGUGCGGUUUAAUUGGAUUCAACGCCGGAA
This 915-nucleotide ribosomal RNA is filed under the name uncultured archaeon. Its description in RNAcentral is "bacterial SSU rRNA". It matches the Rfam family "Archaeal small subunit ribosomal RNA", at positions 1 to 923 of the family's 1478-position model. The record is from RNAcentral.